CCUACGGGAGGCAGCAGUAGGGAAUCUUCGGCAAUGGACGAAAGUCUGACCGAGCAACGCCGCGUGAGUCAAGAAGGUUUUCGGAUCGUAAAACUCUGUGGUAGAGAAGAACGU
Molecule: ribosomal RNA, 114 nt
Filed under: uncultured Lactococcus sp.
Lineage: Bacteria; Bacillati; Bacillota; Bacilli; Lactobacillales; Streptococcaceae
Description: partial 16S ribosomal RNA
Rfam family: Bacterial small subunit ribosomal RNA
Source: RNAcentral